RNAcentral lists this ribosomal RNA (244 nucleotides) under uncultured Actinomycetes bacterium. RNAcentral describes it as "uncultured actinobacterium partial 16S ribosomal RNA". It matches the Rfam family "Bacterial small subunit ribosomal RNA", at positions 28 to 276 of the family's 1533-position model. The record is from RNAcentral. Lineage: Bacteria; Bacillati; Actinomycetota; Actinomycetes.
GACGAACGCUGGCGGCGUGCUUAACACAUGCAAGUCGAGCGGUAAGUCCCUUUCGGGGGUACACGAGCGGCGAACGGGUGAGUAACACGUGGGUGACCUGCCUUUAGCUUCGGGAUAAGCCUGGGAAACCGGGUCUAAUACCGGAUAUGACCUGUCCUCGCAUGGGGGUGGGUGGAAAGUUUUUCGGCUAGAGAUGGGCCCGCGGCCUAUCAGCUUGUUGGUGGGUGAUGGCCUACCAAGGCGA